RNAcentral lists this ribosomal RNA (497 nucleotides) under uncultured bacterium. Its description in RNAcentral is "partial 16S ribosomal RNA". It matches the Rfam family "Bacterial small subunit ribosomal RNA", at positions 28 to 507 of the family's 1533-position model. The record is from RNAcentral.
GAUGAACGCUGGCGGCGUGCCUAAUACAUGCAAGUCGAGCGGACAGAUGAGGCGCUUGCUCCUCUGACGUUAGCAGCGGACGGGUGAGUAACACGUGGUUAACCUACCUAUACGACUGAGGUAACUUCGGGAAACCGGAGCUAAUACCGGGUAAUAUAUUUAACCGCAUGGUUGAAUAGUGUAAGACGGUUUUGCUGUCACUUCUAGAUAGAUCCGCGCCGCAUUAGCUAGUUGGUAACGUAACGGCUUACCAAGGCAACGAUGAGUAGCCGACCUGAGAGGGGGUACGGCCACACUGGAAGUGAAACACGGUCCAGACACCGACGGGAGGCAGCAGUAGGGACUCUUCGCAGAUGGGGGGAAUCUUGCCGGAGCAGCGCAGGGCGGAUGAUGAAGGUCUUCGGAGCGGAAAACUCUGUUAUGAGUGAAGACCAAUUGUGUAAGUAACUAUGCACGUCUUGACGGUACCUAGUCAGAAAGCCACGGCUAACUACGUG